Molecule: ribosomal RNA, 497 nt
Filed under: uncultured bacterium
Lineage: Bacteria
Description: partial 16S ribosomal RNA
Rfam family: Bacterial small subunit ribosomal RNA
Source: RNAcentral
GAUGAACGCUGGCGGCGUGCCUAAUACAUGCAAGUCGAGCGAACAGACGAGGAGCUUGCUCCUCUGACGUUAGCGGCGGACGGGUGAGUAACACGUGGAUAACCUACCUAUAAGACUGGGAUAACUUCGGGAAACCGGAGCUAAUACCGGAUAAUAUAUUGUACCGCAUGGUUCAAUAGUGAAAGACGGUUUUGCUGUCACUUAUAGAUGGAUCCGCGCUGCAUUAGCUAGUUGGUAAGGUAACGGCUUACCAAGGCAACGAUGCGUAGCCGACCUGGGAGGGUGAUCGGCCACACUGGAACUGAGACACGGUCCAGACUCCUACGGGAGGCAGCAGUAGGGAAUCUUCCGCAAUGGGCGAAAGCCUGACGGAGCAACGCCGCGUGAGUGAUGAAGGUCUUCGGAUCGUAAAACUCUGUUAUUAGGGAAGAACAAAUGUGUAAGUAACUAUGCACGUCUUGACGGUACCUAAUCAGAAAGCCACGGCUAACUACGUG